Molecule: ribosomal RNA, 112 nt
Filed under: Weissella halotolerans
Lineage: Bacteria; Bacillati; Bacillota; Bacilli; Lactobacillales; Lactobacillaceae
Source: RNAcentral
UGUUGUGAUGAUGGCAUUGAGGUCACACCUGUUCCCAUACCGAACACAGAAGUUAAGCUCAAUCGCGCCGAAAGUAGUUGGGGGAUCGCUCCCUGCGAGGAUAGGGCGUCGC